GAUGAACGCUAGCGGCAGGCUUAACACAUGCAAGUCGAGGGGCAGCAUGAAGGUUAGCAAUAACCUUUGAUGGCGACCGGCGCAAGGGUGCGUAACGCGUGAGCAACUUGCCCGUUUCAGGGGGAUAACCCGGUGGAAACGCCGACUAAUACCCCAUGGCAUCAUCAGGAGGCAUCUCCUUAUGAUUAAAGAAUUUCGGAAACGGAUAGGCUCGCGUGACAUUAGCUAGACGGCGGGGUAACGGCCCACCGUGGCGACGAUCAGUAGCCGGUCUGAGAGGAUGAACGGCCACAUUGGGACUGAGAUACGGCCCAGACUCCUACGGGAGGCAGCAGUGGGGAAUAUUGCACAAUGGGGGAAACCCUGAUGCAGCGACGCCGCGUGAGUGAAGAAGUAUUUCGGUAUGUAAAGCUCUAUCAGCAGGGAAGAUAAUGACGGUACCUGACUAAGAAGCCCCGGCUAACUACGUAG
Molecule: ribosomal RNA, 471 nt
Filed under: uncultured bacterium
Lineage: Bacteria
Description: bacterial SSU rRNA
Rfam family: Bacterial small subunit ribosomal RNA
Source: RNAcentral